CCCGUUCCCAUGCCGAACACGGAAGUUAAGCUCUUCAGCGCCGAUGGUAGUUGGGGGUUUCCCCCUGUGAGAGUAGGACGUUGCCAGGC
RNAcentral lists this ribosomal RNA (89 nucleotides) under Bacillus fengqiuensis. Lineage: Bacteria; Bacillati; Bacillota; Bacilli; Caryophanales; Bacillaceae. The record is from RNAcentral.